RNAcentral lists this long non-coding RNA (307 nucleotides) under Homo sapiens (human). RNAcentral's name for it is "non-protein coding lnc-ADRA1D-4:3". The record is from RNAcentral. Lineage: Eukaryota; Metazoa; Chordata; Mammalia; Primates; Hominidae.
AGAUAGAGUGAGCUUUUACCCUUGCACGUUAUAGUUACUCAUUGUCUCCUAUUCCCAACAUUGUUAAUAUUCUUUUCUUUUCCUUUUGUUUAUCUGUUCUGCCGGAGGGUUAAUAUUUCAUGGAGUUGAAACUUGGAUUAUUGCAUUGAUCUUAUUAGGCAAAAAAAUGCUGCAUUUCCUUUAUUUAGCAUUCAGGAGCAAGAUCUUUGCACCUCUGCCUACUCUUCUCUUUCCUACUCUAUGCACAGCAGAGCCAAACCUAGAACAGCAGCCAAAGCUUCGGAUGGUCUGGAAUGUGGAUUAAGAG